CUUACCAUGCAAUGCUGCCACCCCCAGAAUCGAAUCUAGAUUGUCAAGCUUUACAUCACACCACCCUUGGCUCUCACUCUAUUUUACAGAAGAGGAAAUGGAGCCUCAAGAAGUGUCCAUCAAGGUCAUGCAACUAGCUACUGGUUGGAGUGUGGAUCCGAACACCUGCUUUUUAUUUUGGAUUUUAGGCACCAAUUUUCACAGCAAGCUUAAGCAGAAUGUAAGAGAGUGUAUCUGCUCACUCUCACACAAGCUCCCACACAUGAGAGAUACAUCUGUAACAAUCAGUAAAUCCAUCAUUAAAUUAUCCCUCCUGGUCCACAGCUGUCAUGGAAUUCGCCCUUUGAGAUAAUAUUCUAUGGCUUUUGAUAAAUGCACUAUGGUGUGUGUCCACCAUUACUCAACCUUAAUAAAUAAUCUCAUCAGCCAA
RNAcentral lists this long non-coding RNA (430 nucleotides) under Rattus norvegicus (Norway rat). RNAcentral's name for it is "long non-coding RNA NONRATT003625". The record is from RNAcentral. Lineage: Eukaryota; Metazoa; Chordata; Mammalia; Rodentia; Muridae.